GAUGAACGCUGGCGGCGUGCCUAAUACAUGCAAGUCGAGCGAACGGACGAGAAGCUUGCUUCUCUGAAGUUAGCGGCGGACGGGUGAGUAACACGUGGAUAACCUACCUAUAAGACUGGGAUAACUUCGGGAAACCGGAGCUAAUACCGGAUAAUAUUUUGAACCGCAUGGUUCAAAAGUGAAAGACGGUCUUGCUGUCACUUAUAGAUGGAUCCGCGCUGCAUUAGCUAGUUGGUAAGGUAACGGCUUACCAAGGCAACGAUGCAUAGCCGACCUGAGAGGGUGAUCGGCCACACUGGAACUGAGACACGGUCCAGACUCCUACGGGAGGCAGCAGUAGGGAAUCUUCCGCAAUGGGCGAAAGCCUGACGGAGCAACGCCGCGUGAGUGAUGAAGGUCUUCGGAUCGUAAAACUCUGUUAUUAGGGAAGAACAUAUGUGUAAGUAACUGUGCACAUCUUGACGGUACCUAAUCAGAAAGCCACGGCUAACUACGU
Molecule: ribosomal RNA, 496 nt
Filed under: uncultured bacterium
Lineage: Bacteria
Description: partial 16S ribosomal RNA
Rfam family: Bacterial small subunit ribosomal RNA
Source: RNAcentral